AGACAACUUGGCUUAUCGGAUCGUAUUAUUCUUAAUAAAGUGGAUUUGGUGGAUAGAAUAGAACUUUCAAAAAUACGAAAUACAAUUGCCUCCAUAAAUGGCGUCGCGCCCAUUUAUGAAACUACACGCGCGGAAGUAAACUUAGACUUUCUAUUGGAUAUUAAAGCUUUCUCGGAGGACCGCGUUCCCACUAUUCGGCAAACUGAAGUUUCUCAUAUUAGUCCCUGUAUAAGCACAAUUACUUUGACUCGCGGAGACGAUGUACUUUCUAAAGAAGCUCUAGAAAUUUGGCUGGCUGGUCUUCUUUUUGAAAACACUAAAGAUUCUUCAGGAGAACCGACAGAAUAUUUACGUAUAAAAGGAGUUUGUGCUAUUCGAGGAGAAAAGAGAAGAAUCUUAAUUCAAGCCGUUCAAGAUU
Molecule: long non-coding RNA, 418 nt
Organism: Zophobas morio
Lineage: Eukaryota; Metazoa; Arthropoda; Insecta; Coleoptera; Tenebrionidae
Exons: 5
Source: RefSeq, a predicted model, not a curated record